UUGAAUAUCAGUAGUGAAAGUGGGUCUUCCAUUUUUUCCUGACUUUAAUGGGAAUAUCUCUUAUGUUUUAUCGUUAAGUAUAAAUUUUUGGUAAGUGCCUUUUAUCAAGUUGUUACAUACCUAUUCCCAUUCUGCUAAAAGUGUUUUCUUUUAAAUCAAAGUAGAUAUCGGAAUUUUUUCAGAAAACAUUUUAUCAGUUGAGAUGAUCAUAUAAUUUAAAACCUCUACAACUAUUUAAUACAAUGAUUUAUAGCAACAGGUUUUCUAAUGUUAAAUCAUUUCUGGGAUAGACCCUUUCUUGUUCUAGAUGGAGUGCAGGAUUGAAUUUACUAAUAUUUUAUUUUAGAGCUUUGUAUCCAUGUGAGUUUGGUGAGUUUAGAACUGAAAGGAUGCAGCUACAAGCCAAAGAAUGCCAAAGAUUGCUGGACAGCACCAGAAACUAGGAAGAGACAAGCAAGGAUUUUAACCCGAGUCUCAGGGGAGCAUGGCCCUGCUGACACUAUUUCAGACUUCUAGCCUUCAGAACUGGGAGAGAAUAAAUAAGUUUUAAGCCGCGUAAGUUGUGGGACUUGGGUAUGGCAGCCCUAGGAAAUUAAAGCGGCAAUUUUAAUUUCUAACUUAUCUUCCUAGCGCCAACAGUGCCAUGUCCACGGUCCAGUUGGGGGCCGUGCAGGCGCUCCAUCCCUUCCCUGCUACAGGGAUGAUGGGCGGGCAGCAGCAGAGGCCGUCAGGAGUCACCAGCCGCUUGUGAGCCCCUGCCGUCAGAGGACGUGCAGCCAAAGCCCAACCAGGGGUUGCCAUUACGACAGAGAGACCCGGGGCUGCACAGAUCACCGAAGGCAGCGAGAUGCUCAAUACAACGCGGGGCGGCCGGGAGACGGGGCCUCGAGGCCCCCGAGGACGCCCGUGGGGGACGGAGGGAAGUUUUUGAGGACCCUGAGUCUGCAAGCCGCUCUCCAGACCACGCUGAACGGCUCCCACACCUGUCCCCAGCUCCACGGCCACCUGUGCCCAGCUCCACGGCCACCGCCCCGACGCUCCUCCAAGUGACCCCAAGAGACUGCGGGCGCCCCACCUACUGACCAGUGACCGCGCGACGCUCUCGAGCCCGCGCGCGCCGCCUCCGCACCUCCCGCCGCAGUACGCAGUUGCGAGGGGCGGAACUUCCUCCCCACGUCCCGGAAACCGGAAGAGACUCUUUUUCCGCCGGAAGGAGAGCGGAGCUGCGAGGGUGGUGAGACCCGGGAGGGUCGGCUUUGUCGCGUGGGAUACUGUUUUUACAAGACCCUCCACCCGCAAAAAGAUUACAGCUCACUGAAGGCUCAGAUGAUGGUAUAUGAGCUCUUUGAAAGCAGAGUGCUGUCGUUGCCAUGUUCCAAUCAUUCAGAGGUUACGAAGGCACAGUUCCUGCCUUUGAUUUGCUUAACAGUCGAGUGGAGUAGAGGCAGGUCAUUGGUUGCAGUACAGCCUCUUAAGUGUGCCAAAAGAGAUUUAUCAGCAGGUUGCAGGUGAACAUGGCUUUGAGGUAAAUCCAGCCCCUUGUUGAAAUUUAGUUUCAGCAGAUGGUUCAUGGCAUUUUAAGGAAUUUCAGUAUUUUACAAAAAAAACCAAAGUUUUGUUUUGGUUCUGUUCUAGACUUAUUUUUUCUUCUUCUAGAAGAUGAGAAACAUAUUUAAACAAAGGUUCUUCAUGCUGAAUAAUUGUGAUGCAAGGUCAUCUGCCUUGUUUAAAUUAAGUGGAUUUUAAAUGUCAAAACUAAUUCUAGACCGUUUUUUCUUGGUCAAAUAAACUUUUAUUAAAACUUUAUAUGUGCUGAGUUUUUAUCCAUUUUAUUCAUGUUCAUAUUCAUGUGAAGUGCUUCAUAAAGCCUGUUAGAACCCGGAAUUCAACUUUGCCUUAUCUCUGAUGUCCUACUUCCUGCUUGCUUGUUUCUAUUUCAGAAGCUGAGAACAUUUUUUAAUAUACACAUAUGUAUAUUUUAGUUGCUUGUAACUUGAAUAAUUUCUGUGCUUACUUUGGUUGUACCUUCUUUAUUCCAGGGUAGUGAUCCAGGUGGGCAGGGCAGGCGUGUGUGUGUGUAUGUGUGUGUGUGUGAUGAGCUGUAAGAUUGUGAAGGUGAGUCCUUAAUGCAGGAAUCUGAACUUGUGUUUAUACCAGUAGGCAGAGUUUUGAGAUAGGAGAUGAGGUGUUUCUUGUGUCAGACUUUGAGUGUGAUGGAAAACGUGAAAGUUUUAAAGUGACAGGUUUUUCAGUUAACACAAAACCUUAAGUGAUGAGAUGAGGGGCUUAGCUGUUUGGAGGCGUCCAUGGGGCACGACCCUAAAUUGUCUCUGAGAAUUGCUUCACAAGUGGAGUCAUUUACUCUGCCUCUGGACUCAAGCUUGAAAAGGCUGUGUGCAGAGCUUUAAGUGGCAACUAGAACCUUGAACUGGACAGCCAGGAAUGCAGCUGAUGGCGCUGGGCAUUGAGGUCGCCAAAGGGCAUGAGAGCAGCGAGGCGGCUGCCCCAAAGCUGCUGGCUGGAGGCCCC
Molecule: long non-coding RNA, 2529 nt
Filed under: Equus asinus (donkey)
Lineage: Eukaryota; Metazoa; Chordata; Mammalia; Perissodactyla; Equidae
Description: lncRNA (ENSEASG00005033111.1)
Source: RNAcentral